This 253-nucleotide ribosomal RNA is filed under the name uncultured bacterium. RNAcentral describes it as "partial 16S ribosomal RNA". It matches the Rfam family "Bacterial small subunit ribosomal RNA", at positions 524 to 776 of the family's 1533-position model. The record is from RNAcentral.
UACGGAGGGUGCAAGCGUUAUCCGGAUUUACUGGGUUUAAAGGGUGCGCAGGCGGAUAUGUAAGUCAGUGGUGAAAUCUCCGGGCUUAACCCGGAAAUUGCCGUUGAUACUAUAUAUCUUGAAUGCUGUGGAGGUAAGCGGAAUAUGUCAUGUAGCGGUGAAAUGCUUAGAGAUGACAUAGAACACCUAUUGCGAAGGCAGCUUACUACGCAGAUAUUGACGCUCAUGCACGAAAGCGUGGGGAUCAAACAGG